This 473-nucleotide ribosomal RNA is filed under the name uncultured bacterium. RNAcentral's name for it is "bacterial SSU rRNA". It matches the Rfam family "Bacterial small subunit ribosomal RNA", at positions 28 to 507 of the family's 1533-position model. The record is from RNAcentral.
GACGAACGCUGGCGGCGUGCCUAACACAUGCAAGUCGAGCGGGGUUGAAGCGAGGGGUAACUCGAGUUUCUACCUAGCGGCGGACGGGUGAGUAACGCGUGGGCAACCUGCCUCAAGGACUGGGAUAACAGCUCGAAAGGGCUGCUAAUACCGGAUAAGCCUAUGGCCUCGCAUGGGGCCAUGAGCAAAGGGGAAACCCGCCUUGAGAUGGGCCCGCGUCCCAUCAGCUAGUUGGUGAGGUGAAGGCUCACCAAGGCGACGACGGGUAGCCGGCCUGAGAGGGUGACCGGCCACACUGGGACUGAGACACGGUCCAGACUCCUACGGGAGGCAGCAGUGGGGAAUAUUGCGCAAUGGGGGGAACCCUGACGCAGCAACGCCGCGUGGAGGAAGAAGGUCUUCGGAUUGUAAACUCCUGUCUUCUGGGACGAAUAAUGACGGUACCAGAGGAGGAAGCCACGGCUAACUACGUG